AGGGUUUGAUUCUGGCUCAGGAUGAACGCUGGCGGCGUGCUUAACACAUGCAAGUCGAGCGAAGCACUUAAGUGGAUCUCUUCGGAUUGAAACUUAUUUGACUGAGCGGCGGACGGGUGAGUAACGCGUGGGUAACCUGCCUCAUACAGGGGGAUAACAGUUAGAAAUGGCUGCUAAUACCGCAUAAGCGCACAGGACCGCAUGGUCUGGUGUGAAAAACUCCGGUGGUAUGAGAUGGACCCGCGUCUGAUUAGCUAGUUGGAGGGGUAACGGCCCACCAAGGCGACGAUCAGUAGCCGGCCUGAGAGGGUGAACGGCCACAUUGGGACUGAGACACGGCCCAG
This 344-nucleotide ribosomal RNA is filed under the name uncultured bacterium. RNAcentral describes it as "bacterial SSU rRNA". It matches the Rfam family "Bacterial small subunit ribosomal RNA", at positions 8 to 334 of the family's 1533-position model. The record is from RNAcentral.